GGCUGAAACUACGCCUACAUGAAGCUGGAAUUGCUAGUAAUCACAGGUCAGCAUACUGUGGUGAAUACGUUCCCGGGCCUUGUACACACCGCCCGUCACACCAUGAGAGUUGAGAAUACCCGAAGCCCAUGUCAAAGUGGUCGAAGGUAGGCUUGAUGAUUGGGGUGAAGUCGUAACAAGGUACC
This 185-nucleotide ribosomal RNA is filed under the name uncultured bacterium. RNAcentral describes it as "partial 16S ribosomal RNA". It matches the Rfam family "Bacterial small subunit ribosomal RNA", at positions 1303 to 1500 of the family's 1533-position model. The record is from RNAcentral.